This 589-nucleotide ribosomal RNA is filed under the name uncultured bacterium. RNAcentral's name for it is "partial 16S ribosomal RNA". It matches the Rfam family "Bacterial small subunit ribosomal RNA", at positions 355 to 1375 of the family's 1533-position model. The record is from RNAcentral.
UGGGGAAUUUUGGACAAUGGGCGAAAGCCUGAUCCAGCAAUGCCGCGUGUGUGAAGAAGGCCUUCGGGUUGUAAAGCACUUUUGUCCGGAAAGAAAUCCUUGGCUCUAAUACAGUCGGGGGAUGACGGUACCGGAAGAAUAAGCACCGGCUAACUACGUGCCAGCAGCCGCGGUAAUACGUAGGGUGCAAGCGUUAAUCGGAAUUACUGGGCGUAAAGCGUGCGCAGGCGGUUUGCUAAGACCGAUGUGAAAUCCCCGGGCUCAACCUGGGAACUGCAUUGGUGACUGGCAGGCUAGAGUAUGGCAGGAGGGGGGUAGAAUUCCACGUGUAGCAGUGAAAUGCGUAGAGAUGUGGAGGAAUACCGAUGGCGAAGGCAGCCCCCUGGGCCAAUACUGACGCUCAUGCACGAAAGCGUGGGGGAGCAAAACAGGAUUAGAUACCCUGGUAGUCCACGCCCUAAAACGAUGUCAACUAGUUGUUGGGGAUUCAUUUCCUUAGUAACGUAGCUAACGCGUGAAGUUGACCGCCUGGGGAGUACGGUCGCAAGAUUAAAACUCAAAGGAAUUGACGGGGUCAUAGCUGUUUCCU